GUCAGGGCCUCCGCAUGGUAGGGGGCGGGGAAGGGAGGAAAGAGGGGAGGCCUGGAAAUAGGGAUCCCGUCUGGAAGCCCUGAGAUCGCCUUCUCCUGCAGGUCCGACCCAGGGUGAAGCAACUUAGCAAGUACCAAGACGAAGUUUGGGGUGGUUUCCUCAGAGACACCAAAGCUUACUCGUCCCAGAGGGGCAAAGCUUCUCUAGUCCGCCAGCAGUGUGCCACCCAGCGCCCACUCCUGGGCAAGAAUUAUUUUCCUGGUCUCCCUUGCAUCUUAAGACCUAGAACUGUCAGUGCAGUGCCCGAGAAAGGACUGUGACUUUGGGACUCACCCUGGGCAGCCGAGCUCUCUCCGCCCUACCUGCCAACAGCCCCAUGCAACUGUGCUUCUCUGGGACAAAAGAAAAGAAGAGGGGAAAGAAAAUAAAUAAAUAAAUAAGCAACCACCCUUCCUGGGAAUGCUGGGCUGCAGCUCCCCGCUCCAGUCUCCCAUCCGGACCCUUCUUUCCCUGCACAGCUGGCUGGCUUGCCAACCACCAAAUCCCAGGUCUGCCCAGCUGGCCAUGUCCUUUUGGGACUCUGGGCUCCGUGGGACCCACACUGCUCACUCUUAGGAAGAGCCAGGUGCAGCCGCCCCACCUGAGCCUCCGUCAGGCCAGCUUCAGGGCCUCCACUGCAGCCGAACAGCAGGACCCUGCGGCUUCCCACCAACCAGAGCGGCCGCUCUACCUUCUAGUUCAUUUGGGGGCCGGCGAUAAGGGGAAAAGACAGUGGCAAGUUGCCUCCCUUUACCCGGAUCGUGCUUUCCCAGGCAACGGAAGAAGCUGGGACCCCCAGAGCCAACUACGCCCCUCUGAGCAAACUCUCUAGGGUCUCUCUAGACAAUAAAAAUGCGAUUUAAUCAGCACCUGGAGCCACGCGCCCACUUCCCACCCGCACCCUCGGCGUGUAGCUCCAGGCUAGGAAAUCAAGCCUUGGCAGGGGCACUUCCGAGGGCCUGGCUGUCCCAGUUGGGGACACGCACUGGCCCUGGCGGCUGUGGGCCCGGAUGUCUCCGCUUGCGCACUUCCCGGAGAGGGCGGUGGGGGCCAGGCCAGGGCACACAGCCUUGGAGCUGCCUCUCCAGACCGCGCUGGCCGGGCAGCGAUGCCCCGGGUUCUCUGCGCUGAGACGCCGCCGCCAGAUACAUCCCUUCUCACCCUCUCCAGCCUCUGCGUCCUUGCUCCUGAGCGGCCAUAUACCUUGUGAGGGUCACUCCCUGCCUGCCUCCUUCAAGCUGCCUCUGGAGCCCAGAGGUUGAACAUUAACUGGCCAGAGCUAUAGAGUGAGGUAAAACGUUACAUAUAAAAAUGAAUCAUCUAUCUGAUUCAGGGAAAGGCGACCUAUAGCCAGCUCUGCGUCUAGAGCAGCUCUGACAUGUCCCUGGACCAAUGCACCCAUUCUUUCUACUGCCACUGUUCCGGGACUAUCCUGCCUCAGGCGGCUAAGGACUUUCGCCAGGAGGAGGGGGUAGUGGUGGAGGGCUGCAGAUAAUUGAGCCAACCUUUCUUCUUUAGGAGAUUGAACACAAGCAUAGGUCUUUUCUCUGGCUUGAGCAAGGUCCGGGACAAUUUAUCCUGUCUUAUAAAGACUCAGGAGGAAGUUGUGCUAGAGGGAACUGCUGUCAUCGCGCUGCCCCAAGGUCCACUUGGCGUUCUGGGAGACAGGGCUAGGUGGAUAGGGUCCGGCAGCAAGAGCUCAAGGCCUAGGCCUGGAGAGAGAGAGAGAGAGAGAGAGAGAGAGACGGGGAGGGAGGGAGGCAAGCGGUGGGUGGCGCAAGGCCUGUGCGGCUGGCUUGGGGGCUAGGACCUCGCAAGCCUGCCUUGGACAGGAAAUCCCUCCCACCCUUCAUUGCCCAGGCCUGGGCUCUGCUCUUUCUGACUCUGAUCUGCUUCUUUUGACAAAAAAAGUAAAAAAUGUUCUGCACUGACUUAUGCACCAGGUCUAAGUGUUCAAUCAGAUUCCCAGAAUUUAUGAAGAGACAAUAGCUGAAGAGUGCACCUCCUCAAUUCUUAUGCCCUUACCUGGAAACACUAGUAAUUCGGGUUCUCAACAAACUCCUGAGAAGGUGGUGACUCCUUUUCUUUCUCUAUUGCUCUCCCUCUCCCCCUCGCCCUCUCAGAAAGAGCUAAUGUGGGCAACAGAAAGAUGUAGGGCUUCAUAGUGCUCCGGGCAUUACCAACAAGCUGCAGACAAUUCCAGUGGAUUCUGAGAAAAUUGGUUCACGUCUCCUGUAAAAUAGUUUAACCUAAAUUCAGUGCCUGAUGUAUAAUAUUCUUUCAGUACAGACGCUCCCGCCCUGCAUAACCCAUCCCCCAACCUGGCCAACCUGGAUUCUAUCUCUAUUAGUUUCUUACUGAGAUCAUUUACCUAAAUCACUGUACAUAGAUAGGGGUGUGAGAGAGUGGCUGUGGUGGUGUGCUGGUCUGGCUUGAACUCCGCUUCACAAUCCCCUCUUGGCUUCUUCAAAGGCAACUACUUCGUCAUUGAGUUCACAACUUGUAAAGUAAGCCUAAGAAGUUCCCAGAAGGUGGAGGCUGGCAGCAAAGACAUCCAGAGAAGGACAGUUUUCAGAGACUCAGCAGGUUAUCAAGCCCAUGUUGAGUACUAUGUACACCUAUUAAUUGGAUGUCACUAUUCAGUGAGUUCUUAGAGAAUAUGCCUUGAGUUUAAGAUGUGGUUACACACUUAAUCUCGUCACUUCAUGUCCUGUCACUGUUCUAUCCUCACUGCACACAAUGUUCUAUGUCAUUCCAGUAGAGCAAUUAUGCCCCAACUUUGUCAUCACCUAAGUUUGUGUUACCCCACUCCCCCAAGAAAAAUAGAAUUGACUCAAAUGUUCCACCAGUUUGCUCCAGAAGAGACAAUGAACACGUCAAAGCAAAUAAAUAAAAAGAGGUAUGAAUCACA
Jaculus jaculus (lesser Egyptian jerboa) is the source of this 2950-nucleotide long non-coding RNA. RefSeq lists it as uncharacterized. The transcript has 3 exons. The record is from RefSeq and is a predicted model, not a curated record. Lineage: Eukaryota; Metazoa; Chordata; Mammalia; Rodentia; Dipodidae.